GGAAGCGCUGCCCUCAGUGCGCCCUCAGCGCCCUGCGCGCGGUGUUGGGAAUAAAGUCCUCCCUGGACCGGCGGGAGGCCCUGGCACAGGCUGCCCACAGAAGCUGUGGCUGCCCCAUCCCUGCAAGUGUCCAAGGCCAGGUUUUAUACUGCCAUGAGUGGAUUCAGACACAAGUUAAAAACUUUGCCGUUCAAAGACCUGUUCCCUCCAUCCAAUUCCAGCUAUUAAGGGAGAGCUCCCUCCUCUGGAGCGCUUUAUCCUUGCGCUGAGAACAUCGGGCUGUGGAAGCGCUGAGAAAUUACUGAAUUCAGUAAAAUCUCUUUUAAAGUCCCUUUGACCCAUAGCACAAAACGCAAAAUAUAUUGGAUUCACUGAAUACAGAAAUAAAUUCACGUGUGUACGGGCUGAUACCACCGAAGAAAUCAUUUCUGUGCUGUUGUAGGUUGGUUUGAACAUCUGUAAAACAAAUAGAUUUAACCUCAGGGCGUUUGCAACCGAAAAUUAAGUACAUUUCCCCAGCCAAAACAAAACACGUGUUUUGGGAAUUUGAAUGUUCUCCGUGGAAGGAACUGCAUUUUCUUCACAAACAGGUGUUUCUGGGGGUGAAUCACAGAGGAAAAGAUGAAUUAAAAAUAGGUGGUGGUGUAAUUUCUGUGAGAGGCUUCUGAGCAGAGAGAGUUUCUGAUUUAUUGAUUCCACCACUGCUUGGAAAAAUAGAGGUAAUUUGUCUCUGUAAAUAGAAGUGGAACAAAGAAACUUGUCUUCAUUACCACUUUUUUCCCUUAUGGAAACACAAUUUUUUUCCUAUUUUCUUGUCUGAAAAGAAAACCACAAUUACUGUAUAGAUUAAUUGCAGCUAAAUUAGCCCAACUUUUCAAACUCUACUGCCACAUAAAACUGCAUAGUCCCCUGCCAAAACAUGCACACACAAUCUUCUAUUUGUAAGAUUCAACACUUCUUAAUCUAUUUAAUGGUUAGCAAAGUGAGUUAAGGAAAUAAUUAGUCCUUAAAGCAAUGGAAUUUAAGAAGCCUGGUUCGAAUUUGAUUAAAAUUGGCCAACAGGAUCAAAAAUUAGUCGAAGGGGGCUGACAGAGAGACUGCCUUGAACACCUUGUUUUCCUCAAGAAACAGGAGCACUGUGGGUCAGAACAAAAUUUAAAUGCUUUGUGAUGUACUAAAUUAAUGUUUAAGGUGACUGUAUAACGUAAAAUUCAGAUUAGAUUAGCAAGAUAUAAAUAUAAAUAAAUAUAAACCCCAAAUAGCUGAAAUUUGCUUAAUGCCUAAGAUGUGAUUUCCCACUAACACAGCUACAAUGGGACCAGUUGUGCCGAGGGUUUAUCCCAUGAAAAGCUUUGCCAACAUAAUAUUCAGAGGGUUUUUUGCAGAGCAAACGCUGCUCCCUUAGGAAUAAACCCCUCCAAGCCCAGAAACAGGCAAUUAUCCCUCUGACAGGUUUGCUUUGCCAUAUAUUCCAUGUAACAAACCAGGAAAUGAGACUGAAAUAUAAAAUAAGGUGCAAAUUUUCUGCAGCUUUUCUAAUGGAAUUACAUUAAUCCACACAGAAACAAACAGUGAUAUUUCCAUGUCGCCUAAACUAGAAACCAGAAGCGUUUUCUAGAACAGAAGCAACAUAUGCUGGGGCUUUUUCUGUUUGUUUUUUAUUUCCCUGACUUAUUAUUUUAUCAGCAUGUGGCUGGUUAUUCAUUUCCUGAGGAAAAACCAAUAAUCAAUGUCUGCCAGCAUUUGCUUUUUAUUUAAUUAGGAACAUAGGACUGGAAAGAACCACUUAGAUCACCAAGCCCAGUCUCUAAUUAAACACUCUUCAAAAAAUAUCGAUUCAUCAAAGUUGCACAAAUAUGGUCAGUUUUAUAACACUGUAUCUCUGCAGAGACUGUGAGUGAUCUUCUGCUUUUUUUGUUUGUAAGGGUUUUUUAGUAUAAAGAGGGACUAUUAUUUCAAUGCAAAGAGCUCAUCACACAGACAUCUGAUUUUCAGUGAUUUUAUAUGGCACAAUUACAGUGCUUUGCACUGGAAA
Molecule: long non-coding RNA, 2035 nt
Organism: Pipra filicauda (Wire-tailed manakin)
Lineage: Eukaryota; Metazoa; Chordata; Aves; Passeriformes; Pipridae
Exons: 3
Source: RefSeq, a predicted model, not a curated record